GGCUCGUUGGUCUAGGGGUAUGAUUCUCGCUUUGGGUGCGAGACGUCUUGGGUUCAAAUCCCGGACGAGCCC
RNAcentral lists this transfer RNA (72 nucleotides) under Saccoglossus kowalevskii. Its description in RNAcentral is "tRNA-Pro". It matches the Rfam family "tRNA". Rfam says of the family: Transfer RNA (tRNA) molecules are approximately 80 nucleotides in length. Their secondary structure includes four short double-helical elements and three loops (D, anti-codon, and T loops). The record is from RNAcentral. Lineage: Eukaryota; Metazoa; Hemichordata; Enteropneusta; Harrimaniidae.